Molecule: microRNA precursor, 197 nt
Filed under: Oryza nivara
Lineage: Eukaryota; Viridiplantae; Streptophyta; Magnoliopsida; Poales; Poaceae
Description: MIR812 microRNA precursor family
Rfam family: MIR812 microRNA precursor family
Source: Rfam by way of RNAcentral
AAUAAGUGCAGUUUUACACUAUUCACGUUUAACAUUUGACCGUUCGUUUUAUUUGAAAAUUUUUUAUGAUUAGUAUUUUUAUUACUAUUAGAUGAUAAAACAUGAAUAGUACUUUAUGUGUGACUAAAUAUUUUUAAAAUUUUCAAAUAAGACGGACGGUCAAACGUUGGACACGGAUAUCCACGACUGCACUUAUU